Molecule: long non-coding RNA, 221 nt
Filed under: Vitis vinifera (wine grape)
Lineage: Eukaryota; Viridiplantae; Streptophyta; Magnoliopsida; Vitales; Vitaceae
Description: long non-coding RNA (VVIN_LNC007304)
Source: RNAcentral
UAAAAGCAAAUUAUUUAAGAACAAAAAAAUUUUAAAAAAAUAAAAAAAUUGAUUUCCAGUACAUCCACAAGAAGGGAAAAUGGGGAGUAGGCUACCAAUAGAAAAGUAACACCAACCAAAACAUGAAGAAAGUAGAAUGAAUCUAGAAACCCUAUUGGUCAUUGCCCUUGCAUGCUAAGAAAUUGAAUAUGACUUUAUGAAUGUGAAACAAAAAAAAAAAA